This 484-nucleotide ribosomal RNA is filed under the name uncultured bacterium. Its description in RNAcentral is "partial 16S ribosomal RNA". It matches the Rfam family "Bacterial small subunit ribosomal RNA", at positions 29 to 523 of the family's 1533-position model. The record is from RNAcentral.
AGUGAACGCUGGCGGCGUGCUUAACACAUGCAAGUCGAGCGAGAACGGAUUAUAGCUUGCUAUAAUUGUCAGCUAAGUGGCGCACGGGUGAGUAAUGUAUAGGUAAUAUGCCUCUUACUAAGGGAUAACAAAUGGAAACGUUUGCUAAUACCUUAUACUCCUUAUUAACAGAAGUUAAUAAGGGAAAGAUUUAUUGGUAAGAGAUUAGCCUGUAUUGUAUCAGUUAGUUGGUGGGGUAAUGGCUUACCAAGACUAUGACACAUAACUGGUUUGAGAGGAUGAUCAGUCACACUGGAACUGAGACACGGUCCAGACUCCUACGGGAGGCAGCAGUGGGGAAUAUUGCACAAUGGACGAAAGUCUGAUGCAGCAACGCCGCGUGGAGGAUGACACAUUUCGGUGCGUAAACUCCUUUUAUAUAAGAAGAUAAUGACGGUAUUAUAUGAAUAAGCACCGGCUAACUCCGUGCCAGCCGCCGCAGUAA